This 427-nucleotide long non-coding RNA is filed under the name Anas platyrhynchos platyrhynchos (common mallard). Its description in RNAcentral is "lncRNA (ENSAPLG00000016882.1)". The record is from RNAcentral. Lineage: Eukaryota; Metazoa; Chordata; Aves; Anseriformes; Anatidae.
GCUGAAUAGCUCAGGAGUUCCAGCUCUGGGGUGUCCAAAUGCUGCCAUGAGGGCUAUGUGUGCAUAAAUACGUGUGUGGAAGCUUGCACUCCCCACCAGCGCUCUUAUCAGGCACCUUGUUUCUACAACCAAUAGAACUGCUGCAGUAAUCGCCAUCCCCAUUCUGCCUACGUUUCAUUACAUCCCUUUCUUUAUGCAGCAGGGAAUAAUUGGACUUAGUAGUUGCCGUGAAACCAAUUUUUGCUUCUUUUCAACUAGAUCCAGCUUCCUGUGUGGCUUCAUGCCAUCAGCAGCUCAUUUGGAUGCCUUGGAUCAUUCAGGAGAGGCACACUAUUCUCCGCAGAAGUACUACUACAUGCAGGAUAUAGUUGUGGCGCUCCAAAGCGUACCUCAGGAAUUUCCAGUCUGCAUAUACACUUCUUGUUGA